Molecule: long non-coding RNA, 639 nt
Filed under: Dermacentor andersoni
Lineage: Eukaryota; Metazoa; Arthropoda; Arachnida; Ixodida; Ixodidae
Description: uncharacterized LOC126530600
Source: RNAcentral
GCCAUACUAAGGAUCUCGCAGCAACACCUGCAGGUAAAAAGCACAAGCAGUCAAAGUGCUGGUGUGUUCUGGACACUAUGUUUGAAAACUUUUAGGCAAGAAGAGUGCAAGAAGCAGGCAUAACAACUGCAUUUAUUUCCAUAAUUCCCCAUUUGAAUGGCCUUUUCUUUUUGCUUAGACAAUGCCUACACCUAGCCACAGCAGCUCCCUCAUACAGACUCCGCAAGCCAAGAGGCCGUGGAGGCAAAUGCAGGCAGCCAGCACACCUCGAACAGCCACCUUGACUGCGGGUUUGUCACCCUAGUCGCCAAGGAAACAUUUGAGGGAAAGCGACAGGCAAUGUGAACAGCCACUUCUCCAUGUAAACGAUACUCUUUCUCUCGGAUGACUCCUACGCCUCGCCCCGCCAGCACACUUGUGCACAAAAAUGCUGCGGAGGCACGUGCAGGUCAGAGGCAAGAAGCAGUGGCACUGGUGUCGACAUUCACCCAAUUUAUUUCUUUUCCUUACACUGAGGCAGCCAGCACACCUCGAACAGCCACCUUGACUGCGGGUGUGUCAGUAGAUUCCUGUUGUACAUAUGCUCAUUAUAAACUUCAGUAAACUUGAACUUGAUAAUAAACUUGAAGGCAAAUGGGA